This is a long non-coding RNA of Rhodamnia argentea, 249 nucleotides long. RefSeq lists it as uncharacterized. The record is from RefSeq and is a predicted model, not a curated record. NCBI's taxonomy places the organism in Eukaryota, Viridiplantae, Streptophyta, Magnoliopsida, Myrtales, Myrtaceae. The transcript is spliced from 3 exons.
UAAAUAGUAAUACGAAUGCGUUAUAAAGAUCACUUGCUCUGUUUCUCGACAAUUGCUCUGCCAUUGCACCUCGAUCUCUUGCUCUUUCUCAACAUUUGCCUCUUGCUGCUGCUCCUCUUCCUCUUCCUCUUUCUCCAAACAUAUACGGAUCCAAAAAUGCCCAUUCUUGAUCAUGAUCAACUGAGAAACAUGCAUGCUGUACUUACCCUCGUAGUCCCUGCUCUGUUCAACUUGGUCACCGUGAAGUUC